GAUGAACGCUGGCGUUGUGCCUAAUACAUGCAAGUCGAGCGAACGGACGAGAAGCUUGCUUCUCUGAUGUUAGCGGCGGACGGGUGAGUAACACGUGGAUAACCUACCUAUAAGACUGGGAUAACUUCGGGAAACCGGAGCUAAUACCGGAUAAUAUUUUGAACCGCAUGGUUCAAAAGUAAAAGACGGUCUUGCUGUCACUUAUAGAUGGAUCCGCGCUGCAUUAGCUAGUUGGUAAGGUAACGGCUUACCAAGGCAACGAUGCAUAGCCGACCUGAGAGGGUGAUCGGCCACACUGGAACUGAGACACGGUCCAGACUCCUACGGGAGGCAGCAGUAGGGAAUCUUCCGCAAUGGGCGAAAGCCUGACGGAGCAACGCCGCGUGAGUGAUGAAGGUCUUCUGAUCGUAAAACUCUGUUAUUAGGGAAGAACAUAUGUGUAAGUAACUGUGCACAUCUUGACGGUACCUAAUCAGAAAGCCACGGCUAACUACGUGCCCACACCCGCGGUAAUACGUAAGUGGCAAGCGUUAUCCCGAAUUAUUGGGGGUAAAGCGCGCCUAGGCGGUUUUUUAGUCUGAUGUGAAAGCCCACGGCUCAACCGUGGAGGGUCAUUGGAAACUGGAAAACUUGAGUGCAGAAGAGGAAAGUGGAAUUCCAUGUGUAGCGGUGAAAUGCGCAGAGAUAUGGAGGAACACCAGUGGCGAAGGCGACUUUCUGGUCUGUAACUGACGCUGAUGUGCGAAAGCGUGGGGAUCAAACAGGAUUAGAUACCCUGGUAGUCCACGCCGUAAACGAUGAGUGCUAAGUGUUAGGGGGUUUCCGCCCCUUAGUGCUGCAGCUAACGCAUUAAGCACUCCGCCUGGGGAGUACGACCGCAAGGUUGAAACUCAAAGGAAUUGACGGGGACCCGCACAAGCGGUGGAGCAUGUGGUUUAAUUCGAAGCAACGCGAAGAACCUUACCAAAUCUUGACAUCCUUUGACAACUCUAGAGAUAGAGCCUUCCCCUUCGGGGGACAAAGUGACAGGUGGUGCAUGGUUGUCGUCAGCUCGUGUCGUGAGAUGUUGGGUUAAGUCCCGCAACGAGCGCAACCCUUAAGCUUAGUUGCCAUCAUUAAGUUGGGCACUCUAAGUUGACUGCCGGUGACAAACCGGAGGAAGGUGGGGAUGACGUCAAAUCAUCAUGCCCCUUAUGAUUUGGGCUACACACGUGCUACAAUGGACAAUACAAAGGGCAGCGAAACCGCGAGGUCAAGCAAAUCCCAUAAAGUUGUUCUCAGUUCGGAUUGUAGUCUGCAACUCGACUACAUGAAGCUGGAAUCGCUAGUAAUCGUAGAUCAGCAUGCUACGGUGAAUACGUUCCCGGGUCU
Molecule: ribosomal RNA, 1371 nt
Filed under: uncultured bacterium
Lineage: Bacteria
Description: bacterial SSU rRNA
Rfam family: Bacterial small subunit ribosomal RNA
Source: RNAcentral